CAUCAUGAUUCUGGUGCUGACCAUUCAACGAAACAUCAUGAAAAGAGAAAGAAGCAUGAUGGCAAGGAGGAUCUUAAUGAUGUUAACAAACACAAGAGAAACAAGCACAAGAGCUAAAAGAUUGAUGAAAUUGGAGCAAUAAAGGUUACAGGCUGAAAUGUCACAUGUGCUGCUAUAAGUUACUGUCCUCCUGUGCUGCAGUUAAGAAUUUGGAUGGAUCCUUUUCUUAUUGUAAAAUAUCCAAGAAUAGCUUCUGGACCAACUAAAGAAUGCCAAGAGGGUGAAUGCACCUGUUGAAAGUAGAUUUUAGUGAAAUGUACAUAGUGCUGAAAAACAACCUCAUUAUAUCUAUUAUACUA
Long non-coding RNA from Solanum stenotomum, 359 nucleotides. RefSeq lists it as uncharacterized. The transcript has 4 exons. NCBI's taxonomy places the organism in Eukaryota, Viridiplantae, Streptophyta, Magnoliopsida, Solanales, Solanaceae. The record is from RefSeq and is a predicted model, not a curated record.